Molecule: ribosomal RNA, 425 nt
Filed under: uncultured bacterium
Lineage: Bacteria
Description: partial 16S ribosomal RNA
Rfam family: Bacterial small subunit ribosomal RNA
Source: RNAcentral
GUGAGGAAUUUUCCGCAAUGGGCGAAAGCCUGACGCAGCCAUGCCGCGUGAAUGAUGAAGGUCUUAGGAUUGUAAAAUUCUUUCACCGGGGACGAUAAUGACGGUACCCGGAGAAGAAGCUCCGGCUAACUUCGUGCCAGCAGCCGCGGUAAUACGAAGGGGGCUAGCGUUGCUCGGAAUUACUGGGCGUAAAGGGCGCGUAGGCGGACAGCUUAGUCAGAGGUGAAAGCCCAGGGCUCAACCUUGGAAUUGCCUUUGAUACUGGCUGUCUUGAGUUUGGGAGAGGUGAGUGGAACUCCGAGUGUAGAGGUGAAAUUCGUAGAUAUUCGGAAGAACACCAGUGGCGAAGGCGACUCACUGGCCCAAUACUGACGCUGAGGCGCGAAAGCGUGGGGAGCAAACAGGAUUAGAAACCCCUGUAGUCC